Lupinus angustifolius (narrow-leaved blue lupine) is the source of this 107-nucleotide non-coding RNA. NCBI's taxonomy places the organism in Eukaryota, Viridiplantae, Streptophyta, Magnoliopsida, Fabales, Fabaceae. The record is from Rfam.
AAUCCAUGAUUUGGGCACUUUCUCAACAUAAAUUUGAAUCUAUCCCAAGAUUCACAAGGAUUUUCCCCAGUAGGUUGAACAAAAGUGGAAAUUGUUGUUUUCUGAUC